CAAUAUAUGAAAAUGAUGUGAAUGAAUUGAUUGAAAAUCUUGGCUUGGCUUUAGAGAAGUAACAUGUGAAAUUUCAUGAGAGCCAUUGAAAAAGAAAUUAGUGAAUACUAUGAGCUUUGGCAUGAGUGGCUUUGUUUGGAGUUUGUACGAGGACAUGGGAUGCUGAGCCUGAAGUUUGGAAAGCAUUGAUAGAGGUUUGUUUUCUUAUCAUUAUCUAGAUCAUGUUAUAUGUGUUUAUAAUUUGUUUCUUUUUUUCAUAUCAUCAGCAAAACCUGCAAUGAAAUGAUGGACGACACACCUAAGACUAACUAUGACAGGUUAUUGCAGCUAUUUGUGGAAGAUAGGCAGCAAGAUGAAUUGAUAAAACUUGAAACUGCAGAGAAGAAAGCAUGCUGAUGGGCUAGGCCAGAAAAUGUAGACCUUAUGGAUAACAUUGACAAUAUUGAUCAUCUGAUGUCUCAAAAUGAACUUAUUCUAGAGGCACUCAGUAAUACGACAAAUAAUACCACUCAACCAGCAAUUUCAUUUGAAGUAGAAUCUCAAGCACAGGGGCGGAG
RNAcentral lists this long non-coding RNA (557 nucleotides) under Elaeis guineensis (African oil palm). RNAcentral describes it as "long non-coding RNA (EGUI_LNC004613)". Lineage: Eukaryota; Viridiplantae; Streptophyta; Magnoliopsida; Arecales; Arecaceae. The record is from RNAcentral.